This 608-nucleotide ribosomal RNA is filed under the name uncultured Clostridia bacterium. Its description in RNAcentral is "bacterial SSU rRNA". It matches the Rfam family "Bacterial small subunit ribosomal RNA", at positions 8 to 614 of the family's 1533-position model. The record is from RNAcentral. Lineage: Bacteria; Bacillati; Bacillota; Clostridia.
AGAGUUUGAUCAUGGCUCAGGACGAACGCUGGCGGCGUGCUUAACACAUGCAAGUCGAACGGGGUUAAGAAAAAAGCUUGCUUUUUUCUUAACUUAGUGGCGGACGGGUGAGUAACGCGUGGAUAACCUGCCCAUCAGAAGGGGAUAACACCGGGAAACUGGUGCUAAUACCGGAUACGUACGUAAAAAGGCAUCUUUUUACGUGGAAAGGUGACGCAAGUUGCCGCUGAUGGAUGGGUCCGCGUCCCAUUAGCUAGUUGGCAGGGUAAUGGCCUACCAAGGCAACGAUGGGUAGCCGGCCUGAGAGGGUGGCCGGCCACACUGGGACUGAGAUACGGCCCAGACUCCUACGGGAGGCAGCAGUGGGGAAUCUUCCGCAAUGGGCGAAAGCCUGACGGAGCAACGCCGCGUGAGUGAUGAAGGCUUUCGGGUCGUAAAACUCUGUCUUGGGGGAAGAAAAAAAUGACGGUACCCCAGGAGGAAGCCCCGGCUAACUACGUGCCAGCAGCCGCGGUAAAACGUAGGGGGCGAGCGUUGUCCGGAAUUACUGGGCGUAAAGGGCGUGUAGGCGGUUUAAGAAGUCAGGGGUGAAAUACCGCAGCUCAACU